Molecule: transfer RNA, 74 nt
Rfam family: tRNA
About the family: Transfer RNA (tRNA) molecules are approximately 80 nucleotides in length. Their secondary structure includes four short double-helical elements and three loops (D, anti-codon, and T loops).
GCACGCGUGGCGCCCAGCGGCAAAGGCACCUCGUUUACACCGAGGAGAUCGUAGUUCGACUCUUACCGCGUGCA